This 638-nucleotide long non-coding RNA is filed under the name Durio zibethinus. RNAcentral's name for it is "long non-coding RNA (DZIB_LNC000957)". The record is from RNAcentral. Lineage: Eukaryota; Viridiplantae; Streptophyta; Magnoliopsida; Malvales; Malvaceae.
AAGUUUACGCGUUACCUAUAAAAGGAUGAUGGCUCCACGCGACCGUCGCUUCUCCAAUCCUUUUCUCUUCAGCUAAACUAUUUUCUGCGUAAGCAUCAGUUAAAAAAAAACAAUAGCUUCCCAAAUUUGACUUUUGACUUAAGCUUCAAUUUCUUGUCUCCCCUCUCUUCGGUUCUUCUUCUGGUAAGGAUCCUCACUCUUUCGUAAUUUAAUUUUUCUCCUUUUUUAUUUUGUUAAUAAUUUCCGUACAUCCAAUCUCUAAACCAUAAUCUUACAAAUCAAGAUGAUUGAGCUGUGAGAUUCUUUAAUAUAUCGCUUCUGAUACCUAGGGUUUCGAUUUCCCUGGUUUAGGGGUUUUUUUCCCUAGGCCUCGAUUGGGAUUUUUCUUUUCUCUGUUCUGUAGAACUGUUAGAUUGUAAGAACAUGGGGAAACUGUUGCGAAUUUGUACAGUUUAGUUUAAAUUUUAGCAUUCAUUUUUAGAGUGUUGGAGUCUCUUGGUUCUUCUAAAUUUCACUGUUAGAAAUGUCGUCGGCUGGUCUUGCUGUUAUUCCGGUUCGAAAUGAACAUAUGGUUCCACCUGUUCACAUGAAUCCUGAAUUGGGUCUUUGCGAAAACGAAUCAAUUUGGAUAUAUUUGG